GCUUCGUUUGGUGCUGGAUUCGUCCGUUUGGCAACUCUGCCGGCGAUUUGUUCUUUAAAUUUUAUUUUAGAUGGUCUUAUGCUUAAACUUUUAAUGGUGAUUUAUAAUAUUUCCUAGAGUUUUUUUCUCUUUUAAGGACCUUUGGUGAAAAAAGUUCAAUAACUUAAUUUUUGAAUGCCUGCUAUGGAGCUGGUAGUGUAAGAGGAUCUCGGUGCUUACGGUCUGGGAAGGCAGAUACGGACAACCAAAACCGGAGACAAUCUAUGAGGAAGAUAAGAAAACAGAAGCAAAGAGGUUAAGCAGGGGGACACCCAUCUACUUCCUGUCCGUGGCUUCUGGAACCAGAGGGUGUGAGGAGCAUGUCCUGGUGGGGG
Long non-coding RNA from Manis javanica (Malayan pangolin), 374 nucleotides. RefSeq lists it as uncharacterized. Lineage: Eukaryota; Metazoa; Chordata; Mammalia; Pholidota; Manidae. The record is from RefSeq and is a predicted model, not a curated record.